CUGGUUCUACUGAGAGAAGGAUCAUAAAUCCCCCUGUAAAAUGGGCACUGGCAUAUGCGGAGGAAGCCAGGAAACAUCGCUCUGGAAGUCUUGUGACACCUUCCAAAGUGUUGCUCCAGCAGACCUCACUUGAGGACUUAGUUCUUCUGAAAGGCUCCAAUCGAAAUGUAUAAAACUAAGCGAGAGCCCCAUGCAGGGGGACAGUGCCUAAGCUAGGUUUCUAACUGCUGUCCCACUUUCUUGGACCUGCUUUCAGAUGUCCAAGUCUCUGCUUUCAGAUGAGUCAGAGACUGGAAUUUUUUUAUCUCAUUUUCUGGUCUUGUUCCAAUGUUGUGCAUGGCAAGUUCAUGCCCAAACUCCCGGCAAGGAAGAAUACUUACUGAUCCUGGCCUGCACUGCUAGGUAGUUUCUUACGACCAUGGGUGGUUCUUCUGGUGGUCCUCACUCUUUCAAACACAUAUUGGUUAAAAGCUUUAUGCGUUUUUAAAUAUUUGUUUAUUUAUUUAUUUAUUUAUUUAUUUAUUUAUUUAUUUAUUUAUUGAGACAGGGUUCUAGGAGUAGCCAUGACUGUUCUGGAACUCACUCUGUAGACCAGGAUAUCCUCGAACUCAGAGAUCCACCUGCCUCAGUCACCUGAGUGCUGGGAUUAAAGGUGUGCACUAGCACGCUUCUGGGCUAAGUUUUCUUUAUUUUACUAGCAUCAGUAAAUGUUUUCUUACAUGAGCCAGACUGGAGGACCAAAUGAGAAUGUUUAUAGGCAGAUUUUAGCCAGCAGGUUGUGUCUGCUGGGUUGCGUAGAACAGCUGGGACUUUGACCUAAGGAAGGUAGGCAGGGGGCUAACAGACUGGUCUUAGCCCUUUCCUGUCUCGCUUCAGAGAGGUUCAACCAUAGCUAAUAGGUGCUCUUCUUUAGUUAACCUGCCUAAAGAGGGAAAACAGAUUAAACAAAAGAAAGAAAGAAAAAACUCGUUUGCAGAGGUCCUACCCAGCUCUGCAAUCUUAUCUUCUGUGUCUGUGAAGAAGACGAAAAUCUUCGUGUCUUGGGAGGUUGAAGAAGACAAAAGAGGAGUUAGUUCUGCCUUAAUUUUAGUUAGAAGUAAGUUCUUUGAAUUAAACUCCAGAAGGCACACUCAGAACGAGAUAGUAAUGGUAAGUCCAGCACUGCCAUGGAGGUCAGGCUCUAAGCAGCCUGGGCACCUUCAUCCUGCUCGCGGGCCAAUCUCUGUGCCGUGCCCUUUAGGCGCGUACAAUGGGAAACAGAUGCAAGGUUUGCUCCUUGUAUGUUCCCGCCAGUAACCUGAGGAGAGGUCAAUUUCAUUCCCGUGCCUGGAACAUUCAACCGUUUUGGAUCAACUUUUCUUCUCCCUCCCCAAUGACCUGUGUGUUUGACCCUUAGAGAAACAAACUUUUUCUAAGCUCGACAUGGUUUUUAAAAGAUAAAGAUAUCCACAGAGGGAAGGACUGAGGGAAGCACUCCGUAAGGCUUGGUGGUGUUAAGACAAUAUGGUGGCUUCUCUUAAGAUGAAACAGGAGGCAGAAUUUUAAACGCACGCACGAUACCUUGACAGAGAGAGGCACGGCAGGGCAAUCUGUCAACGCCGAAAGAAGUGGGAGGCUAAGAACAAGACUACCAAAUCCAAAGCCAGGAGGAGCCAAGUUGCCUAAGGGAGCUCUGCUGAGAAGAGCUCAGUAGCCACUGAUCCGAGCUCCUGAAUUACAGCCAUCACUUAGUCUUUCAGAGCCAGAUGUUAGGAUGUAAGGCUAAGCUGCAAAACCCUACCUCAGCAGUGUGCAGGCAACACCUGGGAGAACCGUGGCUUUGAGGAGGUGAGAAGGUGAUUUGUUGAAGUUCCGUGGAACCAAGCUUCCUCAUAAGACUGAGACGGGGACAGAGAGACAAAGAGACAAACUCCGUGCUAUGUAAUUGGGUUGUAUACAAUGUAAUACAGUGGCCAGUUGGGGCGUGUGUGUGUGUGUGUGUGUGUGUGUGUGUGUGUGUGUGUGUGUGUGUGUGUGUAGCAAACACAGGAGUGAUGGUGUUGGUGCUGCUCUUAGGUGAAGUGAUUGGGUCUUAACUGAAGGAACUUUCAAGAGGAGAUGUGAACACAGCAUGAGGGCAGUCCCUAUAGUUGCCUGGGGAGAAAAGCUUCUCAGAUUUCAAGACUUAUGCAAAGGUCUUUGGGUAAAGUAGACUUAGCACACUUCUGUGGAACAAAGGCAAGUAGCAGGCAUGAGAGCCCAGACAGACACACAUGCACACGUGCACAGAAAGACAGACAUGCCCUCAUGCACACACACACACACACACACACACACACACACACACACACGCAUGCACGCACAGCCACAGGUGGGGAGAGCUUGAGGACUGGAGGAUUAGGAUCUGGGGCAAUCCAACAUUUAGAGGUCAGAGGUUGGGAAGAUCCAACCAAUGAGACUGAGGAGCAGCAGCCAUGGGGGGAAGGAGAGUACCACAUGCUAGACGCCAAGUGAAAGUGCACUUUUCGGAAAGCAGGGCGUGAUCGAUAGGCUGAGCUGCUGCUGCUGGUGGGGGCGUGUCCAUGGGGAGUCCUUCUGUCUUUGACAGAGAAAUGGGUGGUAGAGAUGAGCCCUGGCUUGGAUUGAAGAGUGUAGAGCAAUGUUAAGAUGAGUUUUGUUGAGAAAGGAGAUAGGAAAACUUGGACAUGGCCAGAGGAGAAACCAGAGCUUAUUGUGGUUCAGUAAACCCUUGAGGGGAAACAAACCAGUGGCUGUCAAGACAGGGGGAUCAUUUCUGGGGAGAAACUCGAGUCAGAGUGGACCUCACAUAAAUGUAAGGACAGUAAAUCCCUGGCAAGGUGGGAAGGCGGUGCGUUUGUCUAGGAAGGGGUAUGGAAUGCAGUUCUGAAAAGUCUGCUGAGCCCCUGUCUGAGUGGACCUGUUUCCACAGGGGAAAGGAUGUGGGCUUUGUCAGCGGAGAGUGGAGGAAGGUGGGCUGUGAGAGUUGAGGGGACGAAAACACAGUGCCAAGAGAUGCAGCAGGGUGUCUGAGCUUGGAGGGUCUUUGAAAGGUCUGUAUGGACACUUUGCUGCCCAGAAGACUGGUUUCUUCUCAUUGUUCCACCUCUUCUGCAUUGUGAACAAUACUGGGUGCUCGACAAGUUAGAGAGCUCUGUGUUUUCUGCAGUCAUUAGGGGCAAGACAAAAAUUUGACUUACAGUUGUUGUUAGAUUUGGCUGGUAGCCUCUUCUCUCUUUGAACUGUCCAUGUCUCAUGGACCAGUGGGAAGACAGACAGACGAAGGGCACACCAUGCUAAGGUCUGAAUGGGACAAAAGGCAUCUGUUUACUGAUUUGGCUUUGGAGAGUUUUGGGGUGGCUUCCUGGGGGUAGUGAUGACAGAGCUGGGUUUUAAAAGAGGAGGACGAUUUGUAAAAGAUGUCAGAAGGCCGUUUGCGUUAGAACUGGAGCACUGAGUUGAGAUUAUUAGGCGCAAUAUCAAUAUCAGAAUACAAACACACAAAGGCAGACAUGGACCAGCAGUUCGAAGAGUUAUUUUUACUGAAAACACAAAGUUCUCCUUACAAUUUUCCAGUGAAACAUUUAUAAUAGCGAGGAGUUGUAAACAGCUGGAAAUGGCAGCUGGAGCCUCAGAGCCCAAACCAAAGUAGUUAGCAGGUCAAAGGAUCAGGACAGGCAACUGGGAGAGGGUUCUUGUUUAGAGGACACUUGUACAUGGCAGGUGACAAGCAGGAUAGAGAGUCUUAACUAGAAGACUCUCAACCAGGGUGCAGGAGGAGGAAGGAGGCAAUUCAUCAGAAAGGGAGGUGGACCAGGAUCAGAAGUGGGACUUUGGCUGGUGAAAGGGCUCACUGUGUAAAAGCAAUUGGUGUGCAAGCUGGGUGACCUGGACUUGAUCCGUAGAACCCAUACUUUUUAAAAGGCACACCUCUGUAACCCCAGCUCUCCUAAAAUGAGGGGGAGGUAGAGACAGGAGGAUCGAUUGACCAGAAGUUCCAGCACCAGUUAGCCUAGAGUAUAAGCCAUGGCAGAGAGCGUGACACAGUCUUAGAGAACCAACUCCUGACAGCUGUGCUCUGACCUGCCGUCACUGUGUCGGGCACUUGCACAUAUACACAUACACACCAUACACACACGUAUAAAGAGACUGUGUUAAGAGUUCAAAUCUGGAACUCUAAGGAGCAUCUGAAUGUGACGGAAUGGAUGUAAAGGACACGAAGUUCGUGACAUUGGUGUGAGCAGAGAAAACAGGAAGUCGUAGACCUGGAGAAGAGAGGAAGGCCAGGAGGAGAGGGCGUUUCAGUGUGGGGCCUGGACACCCGUGACAAAAGAAGAUGCCCAAUAAGAUGUCCGUGUGCAAAGGCCCACUUCAGGGGAGUGGGCGCUGCAUGGGAGAAGACAUCCCUGAAAAGCUGAGAACUUGGACUGAGGGUGGCUCCUGAGAGACUAGAAGUGGACAUGGCAGCAACACUGCAGGUACCCUUCUUGGAGGCCUGAAGAUGGUGUUCCCUAAUGGUCGAGUUACAGAUAAUUGAGCCUCGAGGAUACAUCAGCUGUGGGAAACAGAGAAUGCCUGUGUCACUCCUGUGUCGUGAUGGUGAAACUGAGGCACAAAGCCUUCUGGGGAUGUGAAUGGGCAUCAACACUAGAGUCAAGGUGAGAAACAGGAAAAUGCUAGCAGGAAUAUUUGCUGGAAUCACAGACUCCUGCAGCUUCCCAAGGAUUUCCUCUUUCAAAUGGAGAUGAAACUCCUCCUACCCUCUUCAGCCCUGAAGCAAACUGGUCAGUAAGCAUCUACAGGCUUUCUUCAGCACUGGGUAAAUGAGUUCUGGGUGGUUCCUCCUGAGAGCCCUCCUCCUCGGGCAGUUGUUCUAAUGGUCAGGCUACCUGUGCCACACCACUUUUAAUAAAACAUCUUGCCUUAUCCUGUGCAAACAGGCACAGUCGGCAGCGAACUUCACAUCGUGGUGUCAUUUAGAAAAGCAAAUAACAGAUUUUUUUUUCCUUCAAUAAAACAGGAAAUGAAAUUAAAAACAAGACCAGUUUCAUUUACCAGACUUGCCAUGACAAGGUUGGCCAUGGGUGAAUUUGGUUCCAGUUCAACAGUCUCGGCUAUGACAGCAGCCGGGUGCACAGAGACGGCUGUGGCGUCUCCACUCUCUCUGAGCUUCAGCUGAGCUCCAGGUUAUUUUAAAAGGGGCUUUGUAUGAAUGUGUUUCUGUCUAUGUUAACAAAGCUUUCCGUAGAUGCAGAUCUAACUGAUGUGAGCCAAGAUGUGUAGUGGGGUAAACCUCAGUACUUAGACAUCCUGAAACCGAAAUCUAGACCCACACCCUGUCCGAAUACGACUUGAUCACUGCAUUUUGAUUUGGGUGGGAAACUAAAGCUAGUGCUCGCUCAGAAACACUUUCAAGCGAGCGCAAUCUGCCCAGUGGGCCGCUGUUUGCCUGCUCUAGUGCCCAGGUCAAGGGUGAUAAAUCUUACUCAGGCAACUGUAGGAAGGAAAUGGAAAGCCCAGUAUGUCGGGCUUAGUGGAGGUGUUGUAGUAACUACUUAGCAUUUACACAUGGACGCACGGCACCACGCAGGAGUUUUUCACCUCAUGCUUCCCAGUCUACUGAAAACCCGAAGGUAUGGCCCUCGUGGUCUCUCACAUAUAGACAUUGCUUACUGCCCCUAAGUGAUUCCAAAUGAAAACACAUGCGCACACACACACACACACAUGUACACACACAUAUACACACACAUACACACACGUACACACAUAUGCACACACACAUACAUACACAUGCACACACACAUACACACAUACACAUACACAUGCACACACGUACACACACGUACACGCACACAUACAUACACACGUACACACAUAUGUACACACACCUGUAUACACAUGCAUACUACAUACACACACACACACACACACGUACACGUGCGCACACACACAAUUCUCAUGUUUUGGAAUAAUAGUAAUUGCUGCUGCUACCAUUGCUCUGGGCAGUAGCCUGGAACGUCAAGUGUGUUGUUUGCUUAAUUUUCAUAACAACUCCACAGGGCAGGUCUCAUUAUCUCUCUUGUACACAUGAACAAAUUAAGGGUCAGAUAGGUUAAUAUGCCCAGUGCUGUGUAGCUAAAAUUGGCCUGUUCGGUAUUUAAAUCCUGCCGUUUAUGACUUAACGCUACCUCCCCUGGCAGUAAAGAGCCAGUCUUAGGGAAACACUACAUUGCUUCCUGUCAUGAAUCCGACCUGUCUUCUUUUAGGAAGAGACUAAUUAUUAUAAUAGUCAGUUCUGACAUUACCCUAAAAAUGGUGUCACCAGAUGGUCAUAGCGUUUUAUCAACAAAGCGUUUCAUUGUAUCCUGGUUUAUUUCUUCAUUCCUGCCUCAUGGGUGGGUCUCAUUCUUAAGAUUUCUGAGGCAGGUUCUGUUCCUUGGUCUUUCCUUUGCCUCUGUUUUACAGCGUGUCCUCGAAAGACAGAGCAGCUUAAUGUUUACGAAAAUCUGUAAACACAUUAGAUUAUAAAUCGAGUGAGUAUUACGCAGGCCUUUCCCCCUCUCUCAAAUACAAGGUACACAGAGGUUACAGGUCAGAAGUUCACAGCCCAGUGAGUGCUCUUGAGUGAACGCACUCAGCAGCCAGAUCGAGAGUGAGAGCACCAGUGGUCGAGCCAAUGCCGUCCCGAAUGUGGCUGGAAUAUUACUUCAAAGUCUAUUUAUAUAAGUGACCUUUUGAAAGCCCCUGAGAUGUGUUUAUACAAAGGCCUGGUUGAACAGUCCACCACACUGUGAAUCCACCCGAAACACGGCACCCUACAGUCACUGGGCUAUCUUCUCCUGAUAAUUAAGAUCUGGUUUUAAUGGCAGCCAUGUUAAAAAGACAUUGCCGUUCCGAAUUGUGAAAUUCUGUUUGUCAUUAAGAAGCAUUGCCUCAAUGUUUCAGUGCUAGCUUUCCUAUCUUCAGAGGAGGAUCUGCCAUGGUCGCUUCUGUCAGAGAACGAGAGACCCGCCUCUAGCACGAUGGGCAAUACUCAACGUUCUGAGAAUCAGACUGCGUGCACACGUGAGGGGAGUCAGUUACACUUCCAAGACGAGUCCCGUAGGGUGGAACAGAUGGUGCAGGACGACGUCUCAAGGAUGUGGAAAGCAUAGAUGGAACCCGCACCACAAAUGAGGUGAACCGUGUAAGAUAAGCGAGCAGGCAGGCCUCUGAGUUACAUGGAUACAGCUGGAAAGGUUUAGCCACUGUGGGUCGCACCAUUGCCUUGACUGGAUGCUGCACUGGAGGAGCUGAGCCACAGUAUGCGUUCAUCCAUCUCUGUUUCCUGAUUGCGGAGGAUGCAGUGUAACAGCUGCGUGGAGCUCCAACUCCAGGUGUCCCUGCCAGGAAGAACUGUAUUUGGCGCCGGGAGCCAGAAUAAACCCUUUCUCGAGUCAGUUGGCUUUGUCAGCAUAUUUUAUCACAGCAACAAAGUAACUAAGACAGACAGCAACAACCUGGAGUGUUCAACCCAGAACUUUUGUGAUGAUCAAAGGAAUUGUUGAAAAGCUUGACCUUGCCCUUUGUCCAAAGAGAAUAGACUUUGAGGGCAAGCCAUUCUCUUUCGUAGGGCCACAGGAGGAGAGCUAGAUGGGCUUGUGCUGUUCUUGUCCCAGACUGUUUUUUUAUGUGGCUGUUUGCUUUCCCAGUGCUGCCAGGGGCCUGGUCUUUGCUUGCCAAUGGCUCCUCUAAAGAAGGAUGCUGUGACCCACUGAAUUCUAACCGGAAUUAUCUUAGUGUGUAGUAGAAAAACCACCAUAGUAUCUCAUAAUUUUUUUUCACUGGGGAAUGUAUCUUUUUAAGCCUUUGGUUCCCUGAAAGGAAGCUUCAUGCCCAGGGUAUAAAGAUAAUUGGAGAUAGAUGGGGGAUAAGGCACAGCAAUAAAUCUAUGCUUGGGCUGGAGCGAUGGCUCAGUGGUUAAGAGCACUGACUGCUCUUCCAGAGGUCCCGAGUUCAAAUCCCAGCAACUGCAUGGUGGUUCACAACCAUCUGUAAAGGGAUCUGAUGCCCUCUUCUCAUGCGUCUGAAGACAGCGACAGUGUACUUGU
Rattus norvegicus (Norway rat) is the source of this 8087-nucleotide non-coding RNA. The record is from RefSeq and is a predicted model, not a curated record. NCBI's taxonomy places the organism in Eukaryota, Metazoa, Chordata, Mammalia, Rodentia, Muridae.